Molecule: ribosomal RNA, 396 nt
Filed under: uncultured bacterium
Lineage: Bacteria
Description: partial 16S ribosomal RNA
Rfam family: Bacterial small subunit ribosomal RNA
Source: RNAcentral
AUACGUAGGUGACAAGCGUUAUCCGGAUUUACUGGGCGUAAAGGGCGUGUAGGCGGUCUUGCAAGUCAGAAGUGAAAUUCCUGAGCUCAACUCGGGCGCUGCUUCUGAAACUGCAGGACUUGAGUGCCGGAGGGGAUAGCGGAAUUCCUAGUGGAGCGGUAAAAUGCGCAGAUAUUAGGAAGAACACCGGUGGCGAAGGCGGCUAUCUGGACAGUAACUGACGCUGAGGCGCGAAAGCGUGGGGAGCAAACAGGAUUAGAUACCCUGGUAGUCCACGUUGUAAACGAUGAAUACUAGGUGUGGGGGGACUGACCCCCUCCGUGCCGCAGUUAACACAAUAAGUAUUCCACCUGGGGAGUAUGAUCGCAAGAUUGAAACUCAAAUGAAUUGACGGGG